ACCAGGAUGGCCGAGUGGUUAAGGCGUUCGACUCAAGUUCCAAUGUACGAAUGUACGCGUGGGUUCGAACCCCACUCCUGGUA
This is a non-coding RNA of Nematostella vectensis (starlet sea anemone), 83 nucleotides long. The record is from Rfam. NCBI's taxonomy places the organism in Eukaryota, Metazoa, Cnidaria, Anthozoa, Actiniaria, Edwardsiidae.